CCUACGGGCGGCAGCAGUGAGGAAUAUUGGUCAAUGGACGAGAGUCUGAACCAGCCAAGUCGCGUGAAGGAUGACUGCCCUAUGGGUUGUAAACUUCUUUUAUAUGGGAAUAAAAUGUUCCACGUGUGGGUUUUUGUAUGUACCAUAUGAAUAAGGAACGGCUAACUCCGUGCCAGCAGCCGCGGUAAUACGGAGGAUCCGAGCGUUAUCCGGAUUUAUUGGGUUUAAAGGGAGCGUAGGUGGAUUGUUAAGUCAGUUGUGAAAGUUUGCGGCUCAACCGUAAAAUUGCAGUUGAAACUGGCAGUCUUGAGUACAGUAGAGGUGGGCGGAAUUCGUAGUGUAGCGGUGAAAUGCUUAGAUAUCACGAAGAACUCCGAUUGCGAAGGCAGCUCACUGGACUGCAACUGACACUGAGGCUCGAAAGUGUGGGUAUCAAACAGGAUUAGAUACCCGAGUAGUC
Molecule: ribosomal RNA, 460 nt
Filed under: uncultured bacterium
Lineage: Bacteria
Description: partial 16S ribosomal RNA
Rfam family: Bacterial small subunit ribosomal RNA
Source: RNAcentral